RNAcentral lists this non-coding RNA (45 nucleotides) under Trichobilharzia regenti. Lineage: Eukaryota; Metazoa; Platyhelminthes; Trematoda; Strigeidida; Schistosomatidae. The record is from RNAcentral.
AUCCAGAUGACGAGUUCCAAUUAGGACGAAAUGAGCAUUCUGGAU